This 475-nucleotide ribosomal RNA is filed under the name Escherichia coli. RNAcentral's name for it is "partial 23S ribosomal RNA". It matches the Rfam family "Bacterial large subunit ribosomal RNA", at positions 777 to 1249 of the family's 2925-position model. Lineage: Bacteria; Pseudomonadati; Pseudomonadota; Gammaproteobacteria; Enterobacterales; Enterobacteriaceae. The record is from RNAcentral.
AACCGACUAAUGUUGAAAAAUUAGCGGAUGACUUGUGGCUGGGGGUGAAAGGCCAAUCAAACCGGGAGAUAGCUGGUUCUCCCCGAAAGCUAUUUAGGUAGCGCCUCGUGAAUUCAUCUCCGGGGGUAGAGCACUGUUUCGGCAAGGGGGUCAUCCCGACUUACCAACCCGAUGCAAACUGCGAAUACCGGAGAAUGUUAUCACGGGAGACACACGGCGGGUGCUAACGUCCGUCGUGAAGAGGGAAACAACCCAGACCGCCAGCUAAGGUCCCAAAGUCAUGGUUAAGUGGGAAACGAUGUGGGAAGGCCCAGACAGCCAGGAUGUUGGCUUAGAAGCAGCCAUCAUUUAAAGAAAGCGUAAUAGCUCACUGGUCGAGUCGGCCUGCGCGGAAGAUGUAACGGGGCUAAACCAUGCACCGAAGCUGCGGCAGCGACGCUGAUGCGUUGUUGGGUAGGGGAGCGUUCUGUAAGCC